UUCCCCUAGUAACUGCGAGUGAAGCGGGAAAAGCUCAAAUUUAAAAUCUGGCGGCUUUGGUCGUCCGAGUUGUAUCCUAGAGAAGUGUUUUCCGCGUUGGACCGUGUAUAAGUCUCUUGGAACAGAGCGUCAUAGAGGGUGAGAAUCCCGUCUUUGACACGGACUACCAAUGCUUUGUGAUACACUCUCAAAGAGUCGAGUUGUUUGGGAAUGCAGCUCAAAAUGGGUGGUAAAUUCCAUCUAAAGCUAAAUAUUGGCGAGAGACCGAUAGCGAACAAGUACCGUGAGGGAAAGAUGAAAAGCACUUUGGAAAGAGAGUUAAACAGUACGUGAAAUUGCUGAAAGGGAAACGAUUGAAGUCAGUCGCGUUAGCUAGAACUCAACCAGGCUUGCUUGGCGUAUUUUCUAGUUAACGGGCCAGCAUCAGUUUUGACCGCAGGAAAAAGGCCAGAGAAAUGUGGCACCCUCGGGUGUGUUAUAGUCUUUGGUCAUAUACUGCGAUUGGGACUGAGGUUCGCAGCACGCGCAAGCUGUGCUUAGGAUGCUGGCGUAAUGGCUUUAAACGACCCGUCUUGAAACACGGACCAAGGAGUCUAACAAACCUGCGAGUAUUUGGGUGGUAAACCCGAGUGCGCAAUGAAAGUAAAAGUUGGGAUCCCUGUCGUGGGGAGCACCGACGCCCGGACCAGACCUUCUGUGACGGAUCUGCGGUAGAGCAUGUUUGUUGGGACCCGAAAGAUGGUGAACUAUGCCUGAAUAGGGUGAAGCCAGAGGAAACUCUGGUGGAGGCUCGUAGCGAUUCUGACGUGCAAAUCGAUCGUCAAAUUUGGGUAUAGGGGCGAAAGACUAAUCG
This 853-nucleotide ribosomal RNA is filed under the name Irpex latemarginatus. RNAcentral's name for it is "Emmia latemarginata partial large subunit ribosomal RNA". It matches the Rfam family "Eukaryotic large subunit ribosomal RNA", at positions 75 to 937 of the family's 3401-position model. Lineage: Eukaryota; Fungi; Basidiomycota; Agaricomycetes; Polyporales; Irpicaceae. The record is from RNAcentral.